AUCCAACUGACGAGUUCCAAAUAGGACAAACUACGCGUCCUGGAU
This 45-nucleotide non-coding RNA is filed under the name Schistosoma margrebowiei. The record is from RNAcentral. Lineage: Eukaryota; Metazoa; Platyhelminthes; Trematoda; Strigeidida; Schistosomatidae.